UGUCCCGUUGACAUUCGCCUUUGAUAUUUGAAAGCAAACGCAACGCGACGAAGCGCACAGGCAAAGUGCAGCAAACAAAAGUGAGACACAUACGUACACACACGUACACACAGGCAGGCACACACACAUACUUAGCGCGCUGUGGCUUUCAGUUGGCAAACGAGUGUCGACUUUGCAGUAUCUGCAGUUGCUGUUGCCCCAUCGUAUCCGUACCCGUAUUUGUAUCUGUGUAUCUCUCUCUGUGCAUCUGGAUCUUUUUUGGCUAUUCGUUUGAUUCGCAGCAACAAGCUUUAAAUCUCAAACCGCGGCUAAAUUUAGACCAAAAAAAAGUGCUACUCUUCACUAACCAGCCCAAGGUCGCGGAUGACGUCAGCGUCGUCUCUGUGCGCGCACUUAUUGCAUAAUUCUAAUUAUUAUUAUGCGCCUUGCGGUUGCCUCUUUUUUUUUGCAGUUUUCUAAUUGCAGUUUGAACCGUCAUAAAAAUCGGAUUAUAUAUAUGUAUAUAUAUAUAAAUUAAACAAAGAGCUCAAAGCUUUAAGCUUGUUAGAUACGUUAACUGAUACGCGUCUAGCUUUGUUUUUUUUUUCUUCGUUUUUUAUGUGUGGGCGCAAUGUACCUGAAAAGCUUUAGAUACUUAAUGCAUCUAGUAUAACGCUUUGUUUGCCUAUCGUGGCUGCGUUGGCCAAUUGAUAAUUCAAUUUAAUUUGCUGUCGAAAUAGCCAUUUUAGAGCCAUGCCUAACGUAAAUCAAAAGAAACUGAGAAAGGGGGAUUUUUGGUUUGCUUUUUUUUUUGUGGUGAAAACUUAUUUCAUGCGGGACUGAAAAUAAGGAACUGAAUUACAAAGAAGGUGGUCAAAGUUCAGUCAAGCCACACUCAAUUGUUUUCUCUUUUUAGAUUUAGAUUUCUCUGCUUUUCUCUGAGUGUAUUUCAGCUAUUUGUACAAUCAGUCAAUCGCCUGCUAUUACGUAUUACCCCAGCCACAGUCAAUUAGUUCAAGUUCAUUAGACUAGAAAUCAGCCCCAGCCCCAGCCUCAGCCCCAUUUGCAUGCACAGCCUCCCCCGAGAGUUAAUCAUUGGCUGAACUUUCGACUGUGCACACGCCAGACUUUAGCUAUAACACAUGCCUAUUUAUUAUUAUAAUAUAUAAUAAUAUAUUUUUUAGAAUUUAGUUCUUGUUGCUGUCUCGUCAGUUUGUCUGGCUCGUGGCCUUAUCAUGUCGAAAUGAGUUUGCAAAAUGAACUAACAAAAACUUAUCAACAAAAGCCAAAGAGUGCACAGUUUGCUAGGCUGUUAAUAAUGCUUGCAAAAUGGGCAGUUUCCGAUACAUAGAUACAUUAUAGACAUAUAGAUACAUGUAUAAAGACUUAUAUGAUUCCCAUUCCGAUAUAUAGAUACAAUAUAGACAUCCAGAUACAUGUAUUAAGACUUAUAUAAGCGGGCACUCAUCGAUCAAGGUCGUUGCAAAGCAACAAAUGACAGCUAAAAUAAACGCUAGAUACUGUAUCUAUAUGGGCUACAUAUAUAUAUAUAGAGUAUAUAUAUAUAUAUAGUCUUAGUCUUAGUAAAGCCAAGACAAUUGGCAUUUUGAUGUCAUGCGCUGGCAAAUCAUUUACAUGGUCAAGGUUACGUCUCUGCAAAACAGACACAGCUGACAAAAGUGAAAAUUAGGAAUAUAUAUAUAUAGUAUAUACAGCUAUAUAUAUAUAUCAAAUAGUUUGCGUCGACUGAUUGACUAAUAGGAGCUGGGAAAUAUUUACUGCAGCUUUUGAUUCAAGAGUGAGGGCGCGUUGAACUAACAAGCGGGCGGUGGCUGGUUCAAAUUCGACUCAAAUUUCUUAUUUGCAUAUUUCAAAUCUUAUUAUUCAAAACAAGUAAGAGUGCUCUAUAUAUAUAUAUAAAUAUAUAUAUAUUUAUAUACUUAAUUGUGCGCCUGCAGUCAUUGCCUUUGUUUACCUCACACCCCACAGGGUCUUAUCAAUUGUUUUAUUUACUUCGUUUAUGUCAAAACAAAAGUAAAAGCCAAUGUUUGAGACGCAGUUUGAUUUGGAACGUGUUCGAAAUUAAUAUGCCAGCACGAAAUGCAGCUGCCGAAAUGCCAUUAUAUUAUAUAUAUAUAUGCCUGCAUAUUUAAUAUAUAUAGAAUGCAUAUUUGCAAUAUGCCUGUUUAAAACAAUUGAUUUGUGCGGGUAUAAUAAUAAUAAUAUAAUAACAGUUAUAUAAUAAUAUCUAGUAUAUAAGGAUAUAAUACCAAGACUUACAUGUGAAUUUCUACUUGGGCACAAGUUUCUAGCCAAGCAAAUACUUACGACUGAGACUGUAGACUACCAUAGCCAUAGCUGAUGAUAUUAGCUCUAUGCAAUGCAAAGCUGACUUAGUUAAGAGUAUGAUAUAACAGUUUUCUCUGGUACAUAUAUAGACAGGGCUGCAAAUUUGUAAUUGGUUCGGUUCAAGGUUCAAAAUAGAAUCCUACUUUAAAGGUUGAGAUAACUUGAUCUACUGAGCUACUCGUUGGUAAUAGAUACAUAUAUCAAAAUCAUAUACAUAUUAGAUAUGCUAUAUCAGAUAUAUACUAUAUUAUUGCCUUGCCUAUUUUCAAACAUUUGCCUCUGCGUCAAUCAAAUCCUUUUGGUCAACUUUCGCUGACAUUUGACUGUGCAAAUUGUCGCACGUUUGCGAGCUCUGAGCCCGACUCCGACUAAGCUUAGUAACGGAACUAAGGCUUGUUUAUUUUUAUGCGGAUUUCACUUGCCCGCACGGCAAACCCUAGAGCCUAGGGGAGAUGGCGGCGCUGCGGCAGUUAGUUGGUUAAUUUAGCUGCUUCGUGUGCUUCGUUUUGCGGUCAAGUUGCAAAUUGCAGCCGAGUGCAAUUGGAUUUGUGUUGAGUCUCGCUUUGUUUUGGCCAUGAUAAUCGUGUCACUCCGUCUGUAUUUAUUUGACGGCUUCCACAGUCACAGUUUCACAGACAAUCGCAAUAAACUGGAGCCAUCGUUUUGCAUUUGCAUUUGCCCAUUGGCACAGUUUUGAUUAUCAUUUCGAGCUGGAAACAGAAACGUUUCGAGAGCAAUUCAAAUGGCAAAGUGGCAGCUAAGAAGCAACAGAAAAAUAAACAAGAAUGAGGGAGAGGUUUUCGAAUGCCGCAGACUGAAUACUCUGCCAGACAAUUGGCUAACGACUUGGCAGUUUUGUGGGAGGUAUUGUGUGAAGCUCGCAAGAGUUAGGCUUGCUUUGAAUAGCUUGAAAGAGAAAAAGAUCUUGGCUAUAGAUUUAAAUAUUUACUCCGAUUUUGUGCGGCUUUAGUCGAUAAUUGUACAGUUUCCAGCUUGGCCAAGAUAUCUCGAGAUACGAAAAAGUUGGUUAUACAAAAACAAAAACCUAUUUUUUCUAUGGAAUCUAUAUGAUAUAGUGGCCCGAUCCAUUCGGUUCGGAUAUACUCAUAUACCGUCUGUAACAGAUUGACAAAACUGUUGAGAGUUUCAUCAUAAUAUUUUGCGUACUGUAAGAAUACUUGGCAUAGAAAUAGACACACGAACAGAUGAACUUUGCUUUAUCAACUCGGCUGUUGAUGCUGAUCAAGAAUAUAUAUAUAUAUAUAUACUUAAGCUAUUUAUGGGAACGAAUAUAUCUCCUUCAUAGUAUAACACAUUUAAUACCCUUUCCAAGCGUAUACAACUCAAAAACCCAGCUCGAGAUACAUUUACAGUGUGCAUAGAUACAGAUACAAAUUGAGAGAUAGAGAUACUUUCAUGCAUUUGUCAUGACGUGCGCUCAAUUUAAAUGUUAUGCAUGUGCGCAUAUGUGUGUGUGCGCUUAUAUAGCAGCAUAUAUAAUUGCCUUGAUCAUAUGCUCGCCGCAUGCACAGCUGAGGCGAGGCCUGGGACGGAGACAGAGACGGGGACGGGGCGGGGGCAGGGGCUGCAUCCCAGCUAUCAAGUUGGCAACUUAAUGGGCUGUGCAGCGUCGCUUUAUGACAUACUAUAUAGGCAAAAUAUAGCUGUCAGCACACAGUGCCUGUCAAACUGUUCGAUGCCAGGUCAAUCGUAAGGCAAUUAAAGACUGCCCGACUAGCAGAUGCUCUGUGAACAACUCCUGACUCUUAAAUGUAGGUGAGGGGAGGUAGAAAUAUUCACAGUCAGGCUAUAUUCCAUUAGAGAAAGUGUAGAGUAUCUAGAUAUUAUAUCUGGCCUGGCCUGAAAAUGGGGGGAGGCAUCCAAGAAAUAAAUACUAUAAAUUCCCACUACGCUGCGCAAUCAAAUGCAUGUGUUUUACCAAUAAGCACAUGAUAUAUUUGAGCAGCAAUAUACCCCAUAUAAUUCCUCCCAUUUCAUAGGGUAUUUUUUGUAUUAUUAUUUUUCUACAGCAGCAGCAAAAAGUAAUUAGUGUAAUCAAAGUAAUUGCCAACUGAUGUAGAUGCUGCGCGCAAAUGUAAUUUCUAUUUCGAAUUUCAAUUUCACUUUCGCAUUGGCAAAACUUAAUUCAAUUGAAAUCGAGCCAAAUUAAAUUGCCAGCUCAAUGGAAAAUGGAAUUCAAUAAAUAUCAAGUAGCCGAAACGUUGAGCCGAUUAAAACAGGGUGUGCGUGUGUUUGUGGGUGUGUGUGUGUGUGGAUUACGUAAUUUGUUAAUUAA
Molecule: non-coding RNA, 4624 nt
Organism: Drosophila virilis
Lineage: Eukaryota; Metazoa; Arthropoda; Insecta; Diptera; Drosophilidae
Source: RefSeq, a predicted model, not a curated record